GUGAAUCAUCGAAUUUUUGAACGCAAAUUGCACUCUCUGGUAUUCCGGAGAGUAUGCCUGUUUGAGGGUCAGUUAAAUAAAAAUCGGUGUGGUUGCUGCCUUUCGUUGUUACGCCCCGGAUGUGGGUCGUCUUGCCUUCGGUUAAGUGACCUAAAAUUUUGCAUGAUUUUUUUUGAAAGUAUUUAAAUGAAUUUACGUAAGUUUGCGAUUUAGAAUAAUAGGUGUUGUCAUUCUCCUG
RNAcentral lists this unclassified non-coding RNA (238 nucleotides) under Glomus sp. RNAcentral describes it as "partial contains 5.8S ribosomal RNA and internal transcribed spacer 2". The stretch from base 1 to 71 matches the Rfam family "5.8S ribosomal RNA", at positions 84 to 154 of the family's 154-position model. The record is from RNAcentral. Lineage: Eukaryota; Fungi; Glomeromycota; Glomeromycetes; Glomerales; Glomeraceae.